Molecule: ribosomal RNA, 450 nt
Filed under: uncultured bacterium
Lineage: Bacteria
Description: partial 16S ribosomal RNA
Rfam family: Bacterial small subunit ribosomal RNA
Source: RNAcentral
CCUACGGGUGGCUGCAGUGAGGAAUAUUGCGCAAUGGGGGAAACCCUGACGCAGCAACGCCGCGUGAGUGAGGAAGGUUUUCGGACCGUAAAGCUCUGUCGAGCGGGAAGAAGUGCAUGGUGGCUAAUAUCCAUUAUGCUUGACGGUACCGCUAAAGGAAGCACCGGCUAACUCCGUGCCAGCAGCCGCGGUAAUACGGGGGGAAGCAGCGUUGUUCGGAAUCAUGGGGCGUGAUGAGUAAGUCAGAGGUGAAAGCCCUGGGCUUAACCUAGGAAGUGCAUUUGAAACUGUUCAGCUUGAGUAAGGGAGAGGAAAGUGGAAUUCCUGGUGUAGAGGUGAAAUUCGUAGAUAUCAGGAGGAACACCGGUGGCGAAGGCGACUUUCUGGCCCUAUACUGACGCUGAGACGCGAGAGCGUGGGUAGCAAACAGGAUUAGAUACCCGUGUAGUC